Molecule: transfer RNA, 68 nt
Filed under: Leptinotarsa decemlineata (Colorado potato beetle)
Lineage: Eukaryota; Metazoa; Arthropoda; Insecta; Coleoptera; Chrysomelidae
Description: tRNA-Ser
Source: RNAcentral
AAUCAAUGAACUUGUUUAAGUAUAUACUUUGAAAGUAUAAAAAAGAAAUAAUAAUUUUCUAUUGAUUU